RNA transcript from Zalophus californianus (California sea lion), 1274 nucleotides. It is a transcript of the gene named splicing factor 3B subunit 4-like, with no coding region annotated. The transcript has a single exon. The record is from RefSeq and is a predicted model, not a curated record. NCBI's taxonomy places the organism in Eukaryota, Metazoa, Chordata, Mammalia, Carnivora, Otariidae.
AUGGCAGCUGGGCCGAUCUCCGAGGGAACCAGGAUGCCACUGUCUACGUCAGGGGCCUGGACGAGAAGGUUAGCGAACCACUGCUGUGGGAGCUGUUUCUCCAGGCAGGGCCAGUAGUCAACACCCACAUGCCAAAGGAUAGAGUCACAGGUCAGCACCAAGGCUAUGGCUUUGUGGAAUUCUUGAGUGAGGAAGAUGCUGACUAUGCCAUUAAGAUCAUGAACAUGAUCAAACUCUAUGGGAAACCAAUACGGGUGAACAAAGCAUCAGCUCACAACAAGAACCUGGACGUGGGGGCCAACAUUUUCAUUGGCAAUCUAGACCCGGAGAUUGAUGAGAAGCUGCUUUAUGAUACUUUCAGCGCCUGUGGGGUCAUCUUACAAACCCCGAAGAUUAUGCGGGACCCUGACACAGGCAACUCCAAAGGUUAUGCCUUUAUUAAUUUUGCUUCCUUUGAUGCUUCGGAUGCAGCUAUUGAGGCCAUGAAUGGGCAGUAUCUCUGUAACCGCCCUAUCACUGUGUCCUAUGCCUUCAAGAAGGACUCCAAGGGUGAGCGCCAUGGCUCAGCAGCUGAACGACUUCUGGCAGCCCAGAACCCACUCUCCCAGGCCGACCACCCUCAUCAACUGUUUGCAGAUGCACCCCCUCCACCCUCAGCCCCCAAUCCUGUGGUAUCAUCAUUGGGGUCCGGGCUUCCUCCACCAGGCAUGCCUCCUCCUGGGUCCUUCCUACCCCCAGUGCCGCCUCCUGGAGCCCUUCCACCUGGGAUACCCCCAGCUAUGCCCCCACCACAUAUGCCUCCUGGGGCUGGAGGACAUGGCCCACCAUCAGCAGGAACCCCAGGGGCUGGACAUCCUGGACAUGGACACUCACAUCCUCACCCAUUCCCACCGGGUGGGAUGCCCCAUCCAGGGAUGUCUCAGAUGCAGUUGGCCCACCAUGGCCCUCAUGGCUUAGGACACCCCCAUGCUGGGCCCCCAGGCUCUAGGGGGCAGCCACCACCCCAACCACCACCCAGAAUGCCUCAUCCUGGACCUCCUCCGAUGGGCAUGCCCCCUCGAGGGCCUCCAUUUGGAUCUCCCAUGGGUCACCCAGGUCCUAUGCCUCCACAUGGGAUGCGUGGACCUCCUCCACUGAUGCCUCCUCAUGGAUACACUGGGCCUCCACGACCCCCACCCUAUGGCUACCAGCGGCGGCCCCUCCCUCCAUCCCAUCCCACCCCCUGGCCUCCAGUUCCCCCUCGUGGCCCACUUCGAGGCCCUCUUCCUCAGUAA